GGAUGUGAGGGUGAUCUGGCUGCGACAUCUAUUGCCCCACUGAUUGCCAGGGUUGAUUUGGCUGAUCUGGCUGGCUAGGCAGGUGUCCCCUUCCUCCUUCACUGCUCCAUGUGUGUCCCUCCCGAAGCUGUGCGCUCGGUUGAAGAGGACGGCCUUUCCCAAAUAGAGACAGAAUGGUAUUCAGUCAAGGUUAUAUGAGUAGCUGCGCUCUCCUGCUAGAACCUCCAAACAAGCUCUCAAGAUAUUUCAUGCCUGAGGCUCGGAAGCCCCAGGUUUAAUCUCUCAUAUUACCACAAGUCAGAAUUGAGCAGUGUUCUGGCAAAAU
This is an unclassified non-coding RNA of Erinaceus europaeus (western European hedgehog), 325 nucleotides long. Its record names the gene 7SK. It matches the Rfam family "7SK RNA". From Rfam's summary of the family: 7SK was discovered as an abundant small nuclear RNA in the mid-70s but a possible function has only recently been suggested. Two independent studies have found that 7SK RNA binds the CDK9/cyclin T complex (known as elongation factor P-TEFb). P-TEFb activates transcription by phosphorylating the C-terminal domain of RNA polymerase II. Lineage: Eukaryota; Metazoa; Chordata; Mammalia; Eulipotyphla; Erinaceidae. The record is from Ensembl.